UAUUUCUUUCUUUUUCUCUAUCAACUUGUUAUUCCAAAGAAUUAAGUUGAAGUUUCGUGAUUAAGUCAUAGAAAGUCUGUUACUUGAUAAAUCAAAGAUGAAGUGAUGGAUCUAUAGGUUGAUUUGGUUUUAGAGAGGAAGAAAAUACGAUUAUGAUCUGAAUUAGGUUUUUGAUAGAAGAUUGAGAAGUGAAUCGAGACGUUGAGGGAUGAAGAAGAGAUGGGUUGUUGUUAAAUCGAUGAAGUGAAGCUUUUGUAACGAUGAAUCAAAGAAGUUAUGGUUUAUAGAAGAAAAUUCAAAGAAGAAUUUGAAGAUGAAAUUGGUGAUCCUAGAGGAUGAUUAGACUUGGGUAUUUGGCGGUUAUGUGGAUUAAAGUGGAGUUACAGGGGGAAUUGAGUUUCAAUUGAUGAAACUGGUGAAGGUGAUGAACUUCAGGUCCAGAACGUUAAUCCUAGGGUAGCAAUUGAAGUAAGUGGUGAAGUAUUAAUCAGAGGAUGCUGGUGUUAUGGGUAAGCCUCUAAAUUAUCUGAAUUUUAGUAUUUUGAUUUGAAUGGUUAUAAUUGUUGAGGUUUUGUGAAUAUAUCUGAGUUGGAGAUGAGUUAUGAGUUGUUAAUGAAAGUAUAAUGAAACUGACAUUUAGGUAACUAUUAUGUGUAUGUUGAAUUGAAGUUAUUUUGGAUGGAUUGAUUGUGGUGUUGAUUACUGGUGGUGGUAUGAAUGAAUUGGGGAUUGAAUAUCAGUUGAGUAUUAUGUUUCUGUUUAAGAGGACUUGUGCUUGAUGGAGAUUGCAGGUGUUGUGAACAUAAUUGGAUAUGGGAUCGAUUUGAGUAUUGUUGUUGAUGUGGUAGCUACUGGAAUGUUGUUGAAUACAAGGAAAGGUUUGUUGUAGAGGAAGAGUUAUGGUUCUGUUGAAUCUGAGAUGGUAGUGAACUGGAGAAUAUGUUAUGGGUUGGUCUGCUUGAAUGGAUGUUAUUGUUGGGGUUGUGUGGAUUUAUGAUAAUAGAGAUUGAGAUUGGUUAUGUGUUGAUGUUGUUGAACUGGGUAGUUAUAACUGAAAAGAAAGAAGAAGAGUUGAACUGAAUUGGGCCAGAUUGUGUUGCGGUUGAGCUGUAUUGCAGGAACGUAGAUUCUGAGAUGAAGGUUAGAUGAGGGUGUCGAGUUGAACCUCUUUAGUGAAAGAUUGUAACUACAUUGAUGAUGGUAGGGAAUAGCUUAUAGCUCCACUGGAGGCUUGCUACUGCAAUUGCAUGUAGGCUUAAAUUGCAGUUGUAUUUGUGUAUUAAUCUUGAAGUUUGUUUAGAAUGAAUGAAAUGUAUAAUGAUUGUAUAAA
This is a long non-coding RNA of Papaver somniferum (opium poppy), 1330 nucleotides long. RefSeq lists it as uncharacterized. The record is from RefSeq and is a predicted model, not a curated record. The transcript is spliced from 2 exons. Lineage: Eukaryota; Viridiplantae; Streptophyta; Magnoliopsida; Ranunculales; Papaveraceae.